This 94-nucleotide transfer RNA is filed under the name compost metagenome. RNAcentral's name for it is "tRNA-His". The record is from RNAcentral.
CGUGGACGUCGUGGCGGACUUCCGCAGCCGCGAUGUGGCCGCCGGCGGCCAGGGCGCGCCCCUGGUGCCGCCGUUCCACGCGGCGGUCUUCGGC